Nerophis lumbriciformis (worm pipefish) is the source of this 901-nucleotide long non-coding RNA. RefSeq lists it as uncharacterized. The record is from RefSeq and is a predicted model, not a curated record. Lineage: Eukaryota; Metazoa; Chordata; Actinopteri; Syngnathiformes; Syngnathidae.
AUUCAUAUUUUCUGCAGGUUAAAUGUCGCAUUUGUACGACAGAAUUGUCGUACAUUAACAAAUCCACCUCCUCAAUGCUGAGGCAUUAUAGGUCCAGGCAUGAAAAUGAAGUUCCAGAGACACCCAGGAUAAACUCAGCUAUCAGGAAGCAGAUGCUGGAUGAGGCUCUGCUGAACUUCAUUGUCAGGAAUGCCAGCCCCUCAGCAUUGUGGAGAGUGAAGGGUUCAGGGAACUAGUGCAGGUCCUUGAGCCAUCAUGUUUUGCCUACCAGAAAGACCAUCAAAAAAAUGCUGGAGGAACGGGAACGAGUGAAUUGGAAGUACAGCAAGCUGUGGCAGUGAAGGCAAAGGUCCUCCAGUUGCUCCCUGGGGAAACGAAAGAGCCGCUGAGGAUCUGCGGGGGACAGAAGAGUGUCAAGAAAAAAACGAAAGAAGUUGAAGGUGCGUUCUCACCUUUGGUCAUCAUGAUGUGAUGCUUCUUCCACGGCUUCACAUCACGUGCGGCAUCUGCUGAGACAAGACCUUAGGCUGUUCGUCUCUGUUGGUCUCGCAUAUUUUUUUUAGACAAACAAACCUGGAACAGUCGCCAUGAGUCCUCCCCUCAUCAGCCCCACAUCGCGAACUGGGAGGUCCCCCGCUGUCUCGUCCACCACGGGAGACAUCACACCUUCACACAAUCAAUCAAAGCACCUGAAUGGAGUUUAAAUGACAAGCACUAUAAACACAAUGGAGUCAUAUGGAUAUUUUUAACCUUACCCUGGUUUUCCAGCAAUUCCUGCGCCGUGUCUUCUUUUAUAUCUGCUUGAACAACAUGGGGUUUAAUCCAUCUUCAUCCUGUCCUCUUCUUGAGCCUCUGCCUGUGUGUGCACUUUGGCUCAAAGUAAACCUGAAGACCGCCUCAC